Molecule: long non-coding RNA, 714 nt
Filed under: Salvia miltiorrhiza (redroot sage)
Lineage: Eukaryota; Viridiplantae; Streptophyta; Magnoliopsida; Lamiales; Lamiaceae
Description: long non-coding RNA (SMIL_LNC009472)
Source: RNAcentral
AAGAACUUGUUACUUGCUUGUGUUUGAACGAAUUUUCAGAAAUAAUGAAGCAGAAUUUGGAAGAAUUGGUUGAAAUACAAGUUGUAUUUCGUCUCGAGAGGAGUUCGUGAGCGCAAACGGAUCAUAAAUCGGAGUUCGGACGAGGGAGAACGAGCCAAAACAAAAUCACUGCGCAAAGCUGUCAGGAGUUCUGUUUCGUCACGCGGGCCAGCCAUGCGGCCGCGCGACGUGGCCGCGCGAGUCGCCGUAUUUCCGCCCAAAAUUCGUUUUUUUAGCGAUUUUGGGUAUUUUUGAGAGCUACAAGACCUAGGGCAUAUAAAUACUCCCCAAGAACUUAUUCUCUGCACCUUUUUAUCAUUUAUAUCAUAUUUUACUUUUCCUGAGAGCUGAGAGAGACGGAGAACAGAGCAAGAGCAAGACUGAAGAUUCUCGAUUUUACUACGGUUUUUCUUGUUGAAUGUUUAUUUAUUUGAUUGAGAAUUGUAUUCUAGUUCAUAUGUCUAUGUGUGGCUAGAAUCCUUUUUUCCCAGGGUUUAGGGAGUAAACAUGGUUUGAAUUUCUGACUGUUUGAUUCGAUUAAUUGAGAUUGUUAUUCCUUUUUAUGUUCUUGUUAUUAUUGUUUGCUUUAUUGAUUGGCCACCAAUUUAGCAUAAUCAUAGGUUCUAAUUUGAGAUCGGGAGAUGAUAAUUAUUACCUGAACUAAGAACAUAUAAC